Long non-coding RNA from Engraulis encrasicolus (European anchovy), 621 nucleotides. RefSeq lists it as uncharacterized. Lineage: Eukaryota; Metazoa; Chordata; Actinopteri; Clupeiformes; Engraulidae. The transcript has 4 exons. The record is from RefSeq and is a predicted model, not a curated record.
AAAAAGUGAAACAAAUGCUUCAAAACGGAUAUUGCAAGGAGUAGAAAUGUUUACAUAAGAAUCGAGUGUAAAAGUAGUGGUGUUGCAUCUUUUAUAUGCAUGGUUGUCCUGAAGUCAUUCUGGAACAGGGGUUGUGUUCAGGUGCAUGACAACUGACAACAUUGAGAAGACCCAGGAGCGGGAGAAGGGCAGCCUGAUGAAAGAAGGCGACAGUGUUCUGUGGUCACACCUGAGAUGAUGGUCCUGAAGAGGAACGAGAGGAGAUACUGGGCAUAUAAAUACAGGCACUGGUCAUCACAGUGGAGGACAAUCAUGAAAAGGUUGAGGACUUCACUGUGCCCAUCCCUGAAGUCCCUCCACUCGGUGCAGCAGCUCUUUCCACCAUACUGCCAUGCUCUGGGUUGUCCCUGCCACCAUCCACCUUUUGGGUCAUCCGUGCCGCCAGCCAUCACCGUGCCUGCAGCGCCUGGGUCAUCCGUGCCACUCCCCACCAUGCUGCCAGUCAUCACUGUGCCUGCAGCACCUGGGUCAUCCCUGCCACCAUCCACCGUGCCUUCAACGUCCACAGCACCUCCGGUCUCUGUGAGCCAGUUUGCAGCUCUACUGGCCUCUCCAGUAUAC